Molecule: ribosomal RNA, 253 nt
Filed under: uncultured bacterium
Lineage: Bacteria
Description: partial 16S ribosomal RNA
Rfam family: Bacterial small subunit ribosomal RNA
Source: RNAcentral
UACGUAGGGGGCAAGCGUUAUCCGGAUUUACUGGGUGUAAAGGGAGCGUAGACGGCCAUUUAAGCCAGAUGUGAAAGCCCGGGGCUCAACCCCGGGACUGCAUUUGGAACUGUAUGGCUGGAGUGUCGGAGAGGCAGGCGGAAUUCCUAGUGUAGCGGUGAAAUGCGUAGAUAUUAGGAGGAACACCAGUGGCGAAGGCGGCCUGCUGGACGAUGACUGACGUUGAGGCUCGAAAGCGUGGGGAGCAAACAGG